This 74-nucleotide transfer RNA is filed under the name Actomonas lomoniglobus. RNAcentral's name for it is "Synoicihabitans lomoniglobus tRNA-Ile". It matches the Rfam family "tRNA". From Rfam's summary of the family: Transfer RNA (tRNA) molecules are approximately 80 nucleotides in length. Their secondary structure includes four short double-helical elements and three loops (D, anti-codon, and T loops). Further hydrogen bonds mediate the characteristic L-shaped molecular structure. tRNAs have two regions of fundamental functional importance: the anti-codon, which is responsible for specific mRNA codon recognition, and the 3' end, to which the tRNAs corresponding amino acid is attached (by aminoacyl-tRNA synthetases). tRNAs cope with the degeneracy of the genetic code in two manners: having more than one tRNA (with a specific anti-codon) for a particular amino acid; and 'wobble' base-pairing, i.e. permitting non-standard base-pairing at the 3rd anti-codon position. The record is from RNAcentral. Lineage: Bacteria; Pseudomonadati; Verrucomicrobiota; Opitutia; Opitutales; Opitutaceae.
CGGCUUGUAGCUCAACAGCAGAGCACCCGGUUGAUAACCGGGCGACCACGGAGCAUCACCGUGCGAGCCGACCA